AGAGUUUGAUCCUGGCUCAGGAUGAACGCUGGCGGCGCGCUUAAGACAUGCAAGUCGAACGGAGAUACCCGGUAGAUUUAUCUUCUGGAAUAUCUUAGUGGCGGACGGGUGAGUAACACGUGAGCAACCUGCCUUCAAGAGGGGGAUAACAGAGAGAAAUUUCUGCUAAUACCGCAUAAGACCACAACACCGAGUGAUGAAGGGGUCAAAGGAGUAAUCCGCUUGAAGAUGGGCUCGCGGCUGAUUAGCUAGUUGGAGUGGUAACGGCACACCAAGGCGACGAUCAGUAGCCGAACUGAGAGGUUGAUCGGCCACAUUGGGACUGAGACACGGCCCAGACUCCUACGGGAGGCAGCAGUCGGGAAUAUUGCGCAAUGGGGGAAACCCUGACGCAGCGACGCCGCGUAAAGGAAGAAGGUCUUCGGAUUGUAAACUUUUGUCGACAGGGAAGAAAAAUGACAGUACCUGUGGAGGAAGCCCCGGCUAACUACGUGCCAGCAGCCGCGGUAAUACGUAGGGGGCGAGCGUUGUCCGGAUUUACUGGGUGUAAAGGGUGUGUAGGCGGGAUUGCAAGUCAGAUGUGAAAACUAUGGGCUCAACUCAUAGCCUGCAUUUGAAACUGUGAUUCUUGAGGGUCGGAGAGGUAACUGGAAUUCCUGGUGUAGCGGUGAAAUGCGUAGAUAUCAGGAGGAACACCGGUGGCGAAGGCGGGUUACUGGACGAUUACUGACGCUGAGACACGAAAGCGUGGGGAGCAAACAGGAUUAGAUACCCUGGUAGUCCACGCUGUAAACGACGAAUGCUAGGUGUGGGGGUGCAAAUUUCCGUGCCGCAGUUAACACAAUAAGCAUUCCACCUGGGGAGUACGGCCGCAAGGCUGAAACUCAAAGGAAUUGACGGGGGCCCGCACAAGCAGUGGAUUAUGUGGUUUAAUUCGACGCAACGCGAAGAACCUUACCAGGACUUGACAUCCAACUAACGAAGUAGAGAUACAUUAGGUGCCCUUCGGGGAAAGUUGAGACAGGUGGUGCAUGGUUGUCGUCAGCUCGUGUCGUGAGAUGUUGGGUUAAGUCCCGCAACGAGCGCAACCCCUAUUGUUAGUUGCUACGCAAGAGCACUCUAGCGAGACUGCCGUUGACAAAACGGAGGAAGGCGGGGACGACGUCAAAUCAUCAUGCCCCUUAUGUCCUGGGCUACACACGUAAUACAAUGGCCGUCAACAAUGGGAAGCAAAGCCGCGAGGUGGAGCAAAUCCCCAAAAACGGUCUCAGUUCGGAUUGCAGGCUGCAACUCGCCUGCAUGAAGCUGGAAUUGCUAGUAAUCGUGGAUCAGCAUGCCACGGUGAAUACGUUCCCGGGCCUUGCACUCACCGCCCGUCA
This 1379-nucleotide ribosomal RNA is filed under the name uncultured bacterium. RNAcentral describes it as "bacterial SSU rRNA". It matches the Rfam family "Bacterial small subunit ribosomal RNA". The record is from RNAcentral.